Labeo rohita (rohu) is the source of this 655-nucleotide long non-coding RNA. RefSeq lists it as uncharacterized. The transcript has 4 exons. The record is from RefSeq and is a predicted model, not a curated record. Lineage: Eukaryota; Metazoa; Chordata; Actinopteri; Cypriniformes; Cyprinidae.
UUGAGGUAACCUCCACUUAUCUCUGUCUGCAACUGAUUAAUAGUGAUGGAUGGUGCACAUGCAUCUCUCUGUCAUGGCUUCACCUUUAAUUGUGUCACGGUUGACUUUUCAUCCAGCCAUUUAUGUUCUUGCUCAGGCAGUCAAGAUGUUAAAUAUGGUGUCAAAUAGAGGGAAUUUGUAAUAAUGCUCACGUUCGGAGCUUGAAAGCUGAGUAUUGAUGGCAUUGAGAGGUCAAAUUCUACAUGAAGAAGGCUGUAGGCCAGACGGUGUAGUUUUCAACUUAACUUGAUGAGCAGCAGGAUCUCCAGUGAGGCGUUGUGAUGUUAGUGACAGGAAACUAGAGGAAGAGAUGGAAACAGACCUCCAGCAACAACAUGACCGACUUCCACGAGAAGAAGAAACGAGUAGGAGCUCAUCUCACCAUCAGUGUCAGAGGUCAGAAUGAUGAGGAAGGAGGUGACGGACGCGCCGAGAGAAGAGAGAGAGAAACGAACAGGAAAACAUGACAGGAAUCUCACUGGAAAAGGCUGUUUGGACUCUCAUUCUGACGGCACCCAUUCACUGCAGAGGAUCCAUUGGUGAGCAAGUGAUGGAAUGACACAUUUCUCUAAAUCUGAUGAAGAAACAAACUAAUCUACAUCUUGGAUGGCCUGAG